Long non-coding RNA from Hypanus sabinus (Atlantic stingray), 752 nucleotides. RefSeq lists it as uncharacterized. The record is from RefSeq and is a predicted model, not a curated record. The transcript has 2 exons. NCBI's taxonomy places the organism in Eukaryota, Metazoa, Chordata, Chondrichthyes, Myliobatiformes, Dasyatidae.
CCUACGUCAUGACCAUACAUUUCCUGACAUUAUAUUGCAUCUGUCACUUCUUCGCCCAUUCUCUUAAUCUGUCUAAGUACUUCUGUGGCCUCUCUAUUUCCUCAAAACUCUCUGUCCUUCCACCUAUUUUCGUAUUGGCUGCAAACUUUGCUCAAAACAAUCAAUUCAGCCAAAUUAUUCACAUAACACAAAUCCCUGUGGUUCAUCACUAGUCGACGGCAACCAAGCAGCAAAGUUUCCCUUUAUUCCCACUGUUUACCUCUUGCCAACCAGCCACUGCUUUAUCGAUGUAUAUUUCCUGUAAUACCGCGGGUAAGUAGCCGCUUCUGUGGCUCCUCGUCAAAGGCCUUCUGAUAAUGCAGAUACACAGCAUCAACCGAUUCGCCUUUGCGAUCCUGAUUGUUAUUUCUUCACAGAAUCCCAACAGAUUUGCCAGAUCUAAGAUUGUCCCUUGAGACGGAACAAGCAGCUCACUUGUGCAGCGGACCAACAGUCCUCGGGUUGCAAGCCUGCGGAACCAAGAUUAUUGUGCUGACCACAACCCCUCAGUCGGGCGAUAAUACAGCUGUACAGAUGAGAUAAGUGCAGACGGUUGGGAAAGAACAUUCUGAACUCACACCUCUGUUCUGCUAAAGACACACACACUUGUCUGCUGCUGGAUCCAAACACAAGCUGAUUUCCCUCUCACCCAGAGUUCCACAAAUGUGGAAUUUCAAUGACCUAGUGUUAAAAUAAAUGAUUUUCCACAAUGA